This 457-nucleotide ribosomal RNA is filed under the name uncultured bacterium. RNAcentral's name for it is "bacterial SSU rRNA". It matches the Rfam family "Bacterial small subunit ribosomal RNA", at positions 340 to 786 of the family's 1533-position model. The record is from RNAcentral.
UACGGAAGGCAGCAGUGGGGAAUAUUGCACAAUGGGCGAAAGCCUGAUGCAGCUAUGCCGCGUGUAUGAAGAAGGCCUUAGGGUUGUAAAGUACUUUCAUCGGGGAGGAAAAACAAAACUAAUAAUUUUAUUUCUUGACGUUACCCGAAAAAGAAGCACCGGCUAACUCCGUGCCAGCAGCCGCGGUAAUACGGAGGGUGCUAGCGUUAAUCAGAAUUACUGGGCGUAAAGAGCACGUAGGUGGUUUUUUUAAGUCAGAUGUGAAAUCCCUGGGCUUUAACCUAGGAACUGCAUUUUGAAACUGAAAUACUAGAGUAUCGUAGAGGGAGGUAGAAUUCUAGGUGUAGCGGUGAAAUGCGUAGAUAUCUGGAGGAAUACCUGUGGCGAAAGCGGCCUCCUAAACGAAUACUGACACUGAGGGUGCGAAAGCGUGGGGAGCAAACAGGGAUUAGAUACC